CCUACGGGAGGCUGCAGUAGGGAAUAUUGCUCAAUGGGGGAAACCCUGAAGCAGCAACGCAGCGUGGAGGAUGAAGGUUUUAGGAUUGUAAACUCCUUUUGUUAGAGAAGAUUAUGACGGUAUGUAACGAAUAAGCACCGGCUAACUCCGUGCCAGCAGCCGCGGUAAUACGGCGGGUGCAAGCGUUACUCGGAUUCACUGGGCGUAAAGAGGGCGUAGGCGGGGUAAUAAGUCAGUUGUGAAAUCCUGUAGCUUAACUACAGAACUGCAUUUGAAACUGUUACUCUGGAGUGUGGGAGAGGUAGGCGGAAUUCGUGGUGUAGGGGUAAAAUGCGUAGAGAUCAAGAGGAAUACUCAUUGCGAAGGCGACCUGCUGGAACAUUACUGACGCUGAUGCACGAAAGCGUGGGGAGCAAACAGGAUUAGAUACCCCGGUAGUC
Molecule: ribosomal RNA, 440 nt
Filed under: uncultured bacterium
Lineage: Bacteria
Description: partial 16S ribosomal RNA
Rfam family: Bacterial small subunit ribosomal RNA
Source: RNAcentral